GAUGAACGCUGGCGGCGUGCCUAAUACAUGCAAGUCGAGCGAACAGAUGAGGAGCUUGCUCCUCUGACGUUAGCGGCGGACGGGUGAGUAACACGUGGAUAACCUACCUAUAAGACUGGGAUAACUUCGGGAAACCGGAGCUAAUACCGGAUAAUAUAUUGAACCGCAUGGUUCAAUAGUGAAAGACGGUUUUGCUGUCACUUAUAGAUGGAUCCGCGCCGCAUAAGCUAGUUGGUAAGGUAACGGCUUACCAAGGCAACGAUGCGUAGCCGACCUGAGAGGGUGAUCGGCCACACUGGAACUGAGACACGGUCCAGACUCCUACGGGAGGCAGCAGUAGGGAAUCUUCCGCAAUGGGCGAAAGCCUGACGGAGCAACGCCACGUGAGUGAUGAAGGUCUUCGGAUCGUAAAACUCUGUUAUUAGGGAAGAACAAAUGUGUAAGUAACUAUGCACGUCUUGACGGUACCUAAUCAGAAAGCCACGGCUAACUACGUG
RNAcentral lists this ribosomal RNA (497 nucleotides) under uncultured bacterium. RNAcentral's name for it is "partial 16S ribosomal RNA". It matches the Rfam family "Bacterial small subunit ribosomal RNA", at positions 28 to 507 of the family's 1533-position model. The record is from RNAcentral.